Sinocyclocheilus anshuiensis is the source of this 1474-nucleotide RNA transcript. It is a transcript of the gene named DCN1, defective in cullin neddylation 1, domain containing 2b, with no coding region annotated. The record is from RefSeq and is a predicted model, not a curated record. Lineage: Eukaryota; Metazoa; Chordata; Actinopteri; Cypriniformes; Cyprinidae. The transcript is spliced from 8 exons.
GCACAAAAUUAAAGAUUAGCGGUUCUGUAAGUGAAACAAAUGUCAGUUUACUUCGAGAGCCGCACAGGUGGAAAAACUACAACUCCCAGAAUUCCCCUGAGCACGAGCGGUCGCUGGUUUCCGCGCAUGCGCACAGGGAGCUCCGCUGGACAUGAAGCAGCGCGUGAAAAGAUGCAUAAAUUGAAGUUGUCCCAGAAGGAAAAGAUCCGUCAGUUUAUGUCCUUCACGCGGGCCGCAGAGAGAACCGCCCUCUACUGCCUGACCCACAAUGACUGGAGACUAGAGACGGCCACCGAUAACUACUUCCAGAACCCUGAUAUCUACCGAAGAGACUCCAUGAAAACAGCAGUGGAUCGCAAGAAGCUGGAUCAGCUGUACAACCGCUAUAAAGAUCCACAUGAUGAGAAUAAGAUCGGCAUCGACGGGGUCCAGCAGUUCUGUGACGACCUCAUGCUGGAUCCAUCCAGUGUCAGCAUCCUGAUUGUGGCGUGGAAAUUUAGAGCGGCGACGCAGUGCGAGUUCAGCCGCAAAGAGUUCCUGGAUGGCAUGUCAGAGCUGGGGUGUGAUAGUCCAGAGAAGCUGAAGAGUCUUUUACCCAGACUAGAGCAGGAGCUGAAGGAUUCUGGGAAGUUCAAAGAUUUCUAUCAGUUCACGUUUAGCUUUGCCAAGAAUCCUGGUCAGAAGGGUUUAGAUCUGGAGAUGGCCGUGGCCUAUUGGAAUCUCAUUCUCACCGGACGCUUUAAGUUUCUCGACCUCUGGAACACUUUCCUUCUGGAGCAUCAUAAAAAAUCCAUCCCUAAAGACACUUGGAACCUGCUGCUGGACUUUGGAAACAUGAUUGCAGAUGACAUGUCCAACUAUGACGAGGAGGGUGCGUGGCCGGUGCUCAUUGAUGACUUUGUGGAAUUUGCUCGGCCGAUCGUGACUGCAGAAAAUCACAAGACUCUAUAAUGAGUGCUUACAGGGAGGCCUCUCUAUACUGAAUUUUUUAAUAAAAAAACAACAAAUGCAUUUAAAAAUAUAUAUUAUUAAACGGAGAGAGUUUGUACAUUAUGAGUCUGCUGCUGGCAAGAGGCUGAAGAUCAGCGGCCUCCCAGGCUGAACUACAUCACCAUGAUCACGUGUGCGCUGUCAUCACUGAACUUCUGAAUCUGUCUAGCCUCAUAGCACACUUAUACCAGUGUGUUUCCCAUGAGUCUCGGCGUCUGUGUUAUCGGAGGAAUAUUUAAAUCAGAUCACCCUCUGUGUCUGCUGUUAGUCUGGAUGAGUUUCUAACACGGUUUUUAUUUUCUUCACUUUGUGAUAUUCGUCAUAUCACGGUGUCAGUUCAGUUCACCUCAUCAUAUCAGUGUUAUGUAUGUAUGUAAAUAAAAGUUAUUUAACAAAACUCAUUCUCCACUGUCAUUAUGUUAAUGCUGUGGCACGAGUAUGAAUUGAUAAUCUGAUGUGUCACCAAAUUCACAUUAUUAUCAAC